AUUGAACGCUGGCGGCAUGCCUUACACAUGCAAGUCGAACGGCAACGGGCCUUCGGGUGCCGACGAGUGGCGCACGGGUGAGUAAUACAUCGGAACGUGCCCGAACGUGGGGGAUAACGAGGCGAAAGCUUUGCUAAUACCGCAUACGAUCUACGGAUGAAAGCCGGGGACCGCAAGGCCUUGCGCGGACGGAGCGGCCGAUGGCAGAUUAGGUAGUUGGUGGGAUAAAAGCUUACCAAGCCGACGAUCUGUAGCUGGUCUGAGAGGAUGAUCAGCCACACUGGGACUGAGACACGGCCCAGACUCCUACGGGAGGCAGCAGUGGGGAAUUUUGGACAAUGGGCGCAAGCCUGAUCCAGCCAUGCCGCGUGCAGGAUGAAGGCCUUCGGGUUGUAAACUGCUUUUGUACGGAACGAAAAGCCUUCUUUUAAUACAGGAGGGUCAUGACGGUACCGUAAGAAUAAGCACCGGCUAACUACGUG
This 482-nucleotide ribosomal RNA is filed under the name uncultured bacterium. RNAcentral describes it as "partial 16S ribosomal RNA". It matches the Rfam family "Bacterial small subunit ribosomal RNA", at positions 30 to 507 of the family's 1533-position model. The record is from RNAcentral.